GGGCUGGUAGCUCAGUUGGUUAGAGCGCACGCUUGAUAAGCGUGAGGUCGGAGGUUCGAGUCCUCCUCGGCCCA
This 74-nucleotide transfer RNA is filed under the name Candidatus Cytomitobacter primus. It matches the Rfam family "tRNA". From Rfam's summary of the family: Transfer RNA (tRNA) molecules are approximately 80 nucleotides in length. Their secondary structure includes four short double-helical elements and three loops (D, anti-codon, and T loops). The record is from Rfam by way of RNAcentral. Lineage: Bacteria; Pseudomonadati; Pseudomonadota; Alphaproteobacteria; Holosporales; Holosporaceae.